GGUCAAGUGAAGAAGCGCAUACGGUGGAUGCCUUGGCAGUCAGAGGCGAUGAAAGACGUGGUAGCCUGCGAAAAGCUUCGGGGAGUCGGCAAACAGACUUUGAUCCGGAGAUGUCUGAAUGGGGGAACCCAGCCAUCAUAAGAUGGUUAUCUUGUACUGAAUACAUAGGUGCAAGAGGCGAACCAGGGGAACUGAAACAUCUAAGUACCCUGAGGAAAAGAAAUCAACCGAGAUUCCCUUAGUAGUGGCGAGCGAACGGGGACUAGCCCUUAAGUGGCUUUGAGAUUAGCGGAACGCUCUGGAAAGUGCGGCCAUAGUGGGUGAUAGCCCUGUACGCGAAAAUCUCUUAGUCAUGAAAUCGAGUAGGACGGAGCACGAGAAACUUUGUCUGAAUAUGGGGGGACCAUCCUCCAAGGCUAAAUACUACUGACUGACCGAUAGUGAACUAGUACCGUGAGGGAAAGGCGAAAAGAACCCCGGAGAGGGGAGUGAAAUAGAUCCUGAAACCGUAUGCGUACAAGCAGUGGGAGCCCACUUUGUUGGGUGACUGCGUACCUUUUGUAUAAUGGGUCAGCGACUUAUUUUCAGUGGCGAGCUUAACCGAAUAGGGGAGGCGUAGCGAAAGCGAGUCUUAAUAGGGCGUCUAGUCGCUGGGAAUAGACCCGAAACCGGGCGAUCUAUCCAUGGGCAGGUUGAAGGUUGGGUAACACUAACUGGAGGACCGAACCGACUACCGUUGAAAAGUUAGCGGAUGACCUGUGGAUCGGAGUGAAAGGCUAAUCAAGCUCGGAGAUAGCUGGUUCUCCUCGAAAGCUAUUUAGGUAGCGCCUCAUGUAUCACUGUAGGGGGUAGAGCACUGUUUCGGCUAGGGGGUCAUCCCGACUUACCAAACCGAUGCAAACUCCGAAUACCUACAAGUGCCGAGCAUGGGAGACACACGGCGGGUGCUAACGUCCGUCGUGAAAAGGGAAACAACCCAGACCGUCAGCUAAGGUCCCAAAGUUAUGGUUAAGUGGGAAACGAUGUGGGAAGGCUUAGACAGCUAGGAGGUUGGCUUAGAAGCAGCCACCCUUUAAAGAAAGCGUAAUAGCUCACUAGUCGAGUCGGCCUGCGCGGAAGAUGUAACGGGGCUCAAACCAUACACCGAAGCUACGGGUAUCACGUAAGUGAUGCGGUAGAGGAGCGUUCUGUAAGCCUGUGAAGGUGAGUUGAGAAGCUUGCUGGAGGUAUCAGAAGUGCGAAUGCUGACAUGAGUAACGACAAUGGGUGUGAAAAACACCCACGCCGAAAGACCAAGGUUUCCUGCGCAACGUUAAUCGACGCAGGGUUAGUCGGUCCCUAAGGCGAGGCUGAAAAGCGUAGUCGAUGGAAAACAGGUUAAUAUUCCUGUACUUCUGGUUAUUGCGAUGGAGGGACGGAGAAGGCUAGGCCAGCUUGGCGUUGGUUGUCCAAGUUUAAGGUGGUAGGCUGAGAUCUUAGGUAAAUCCGGGAUCUUAAGGCCGAGAGCUGAUGACGAGCUAACUUUUAGUUAGCGAAGUGGUUGAUGCCAUGCUUCCAAGAAAAGCUUCUAAGCUUCAGGUAACCAGGAACCGUACCCCAAACCGACACAGGUGGUUGGGUAGAGAAUACCAAGGCGCUUGAGAGAACUCGGGUGAAGGAACUAGGCAAAAUGGCACCGUAACUUCGGGAGAAGGUGCGCCGGUGAGGGUGAAGGACUUGCUCCGUAAGCUCAUGCCGGUCGAAGAUACCAGGCCGCUGCGACUGUUUAUUAAAAACACAGCACUCUGCAAACACGAAAGUGGACGUAUAGGGUGUGACGCCUGCCCGGUGCCGGAAGGUUAAUUGAUGGGGUUAGCUAACGCGAAGCUCUUGAUCGAAGCCCCGGUAAACGGCGGCCGUAACUAUAACGGUCCUAAGGUAGCGAAAUUCCUUGUCGGGUAAGUUCCGACCUGCACGAAUGGCGUAACGAUGGCGGCGCUGUCUCCACCCGAGACUCAGUGAAAUUGAAAUCGCUGUGAAGAUGCAGUGUAUCCGCGGCUAGACGGAAAGACCCCGUGAACCUUUACUAUAGCUUUGCACUGGACUUUGAAUUUGCUUGUGUAGGAUAGGUGGGAGGCUUUGAAGCGUGGACGCCAGUUCGCGUGGAGCCAUCCUUGAAAUACCACCCUGGCAACUUUGAGGUUCUAACUCAGGUCCGUUAUCCGGAUCGAGGACAGUGUAUGGUGGGUAGUUUGACUGGGGCGGUCUCCUCCUAAAGAGUAACGGAGGAGUACGAAGGUGCGCUCAGACCGGUCGGAAAUCGGUCGUAGAGUAUAAAGGCAAAAGCGCGCUUGACUGCGAGACAGACACGUCGAGCAGGUACGAAAGUAGGUCUUAGUGAUCCGGUGGUUCUGUAUGGAAGGGCCAUCGCUCAACGGAUAAAAGUACUCCGGGGAUAACAGGCUGAUACCGCCCAAGAGUUCAUAUCGACGGCGGUGUUUGGCACCUCGAUGUCGGCUCAUCACAUCCUGGGGCUGAAGCCGGUCCCAAGGGUAUGGCUGUUCGCCAUUUAAAGUGGUACGCGAGCUGGGUUUAGAACGUCGUGAGACAGUUCGGUCCCUAUCUGCCGUGGACGUUUGAGAUUUGAGAGGGGCUGCUCCUAGUACGAGAGGACCGGAGUGGACGAACCUCUGGUGUUCCGGUUGUCACGCCAGUGGCAUUGCCGGGUAGCUAUGUUCGGAAUAGAUAACCGCUGAAAGCAUCUAAGCGGGAAACUAGCCUCAAGAUGAGAUCUCACUGGAACCUUGAGUUCCCUGAAGGGCCGUCGAAGACUACGACGUUGAUAGGUUGGGUGUGUAAGCGCUGUGAGGCGUUGAGCUAACCAAUACUAAUUGCCCGUGAGGCUUGACCAU
Molecule: ribosomal RNA, 2891 nt
Filed under: Pseudomonas simiae
Lineage: Bacteria; Pseudomonadati; Pseudomonadota; Gammaproteobacteria; Pseudomonadales; Pseudomonadaceae
Description: 23S ribosomal RNA
Rfam family: Bacterial large subunit ribosomal RNA
Source: RNAcentral